AACAACAACAACAACAACAACUACUACUACUACUACUACUACUACUACUACUACUACUUCACGCUGUGAUCCUCGAAUAUGUUGUUUUGAUGAGCUUCAGAACCACAAAGUUCGACAGUAAACUGUAAGAAGAAGAAAAGACGAAAUUAGCGCGAAAAGGUGGAACAUCGGCUAACUGCUGCUAAUGCCGACUGUGGAGUUUUGUCUUUUGGACGGUCGUCCGCGGCUUUUUGUCUCUGCUAUUGUCCGCUGGUGAUCAGUCUUUCUACAAACACAUCUGAAGUCCAGCAGCUGAGGAACAUGUUGAAACUACAGCUAACACCUGCUGAUGAAGGAAUAAUCACAGACCAGAAAAAAGAACUGUGUCAUUUAAAAGAAGAGAACAAAAGAGACAUGCAGCCAUUGUUGGUGAUUAAAGAAGAAAUUCCCCCUGAACGCCAGGAAUGGGACAUUAAAGAAGAAAAGAAGCUGUGGAUAAGUCAGCAGAGAGAACAGCUUCAGCAGCUGGAGGAGGCAGAUCUCACCAAGUUUGGUUUCACUGCCGUCCCUGUGAAGAGUGAAAA
This is a long non-coding RNA of Thalassophryne amazonica, 563 nucleotides long. RefSeq lists it as uncharacterized. Lineage: Eukaryota; Metazoa; Chordata; Actinopteri; Batrachoidiformes; Batrachoididae. The record is from RefSeq and is a predicted model, not a curated record. The transcript has 3 exons.